AUGAAGGCAGGGUCGGCUCCGGGGCCUGAUGGGAUCCUAGCCCUUCACGAGAUUGUCCAUGAGGUAAAGACGUGUGGCCAUAAGGGCGUCUUCCUCAAGUUGGACUUCCAAAAGGCAUACGACCGCCUGGAUUGGUCAUUCUUGCGGUUGGCGCUUCAGCAAAGGGGCUUUGAUGACAGAUGGUGUUCAUGGAUCAUGCAGUUCGUUCGGUCCGGAAGGACGGCGAUUAAUAUUAAUGGCGACGUGGGACCAUUCUUUACGUCCUCUGCAGGAGUGAAGCAAAGGGACCCGAUCUCCCCCCUUCACUUCAACCUCGCCGUUGAUGCUUUGCUGGCAACCUAG
RNAcentral lists this ribosomal RNA (342 nucleotides) under Triticum aestivum (bread wheat). RNAcentral describes it as "partial small subunit ribosomal RNA". Lineage: Eukaryota; Viridiplantae; Streptophyta; Magnoliopsida; Poales; Poaceae. The record is from RNAcentral.